GACGAACGCUGGCGGCGUGCCUAAUACAUGCAAGUGGGACGCAAGGAAACACACUGUGCUUGCACACCGUGUUUUCUUGAGUCGCGAACGGGUGAGUAACGCGUAGGUAACCUGCCUAUUAGCGGGGGAUAACUAUUGGAAACGAUAGCUAAUACCGCAUAAUAUUAAUUAUUGCAUGAUAAUUGAUUGAAAGAUGCAAGCGCAUCACUAGUAGAUGGACCUGCGUUGUAUUAGCUAGUUGGUAAGGUAAGCGCUUACCAAGGCGACGAUACAUAGCCGACCUGAGAAGGUGAACGGCCACACUGGGACUGAGACACGGCCCAGACUCCUACGGGAGGCAGCAGUAGGGAAUCUUCGGCAAUGGACGAAAGUCUGACCGAGCAACGCCGCGUGAGUGAAGAAGGUUUUCGGAUCGUAAAGCUCUGUUGUAAGUCAAGAACGUGUGUGAGAGUGGAAAGUUCACACAGUGACGGUAGCUUACCAGAAAGGGACGGCUAACUACGUG
Molecule: ribosomal RNA, 505 nt
Filed under: uncultured bacterium
Lineage: Bacteria
Description: partial 16S ribosomal RNA
Rfam family: Bacterial small subunit ribosomal RNA
Source: RNAcentral